This is a long non-coding RNA of Gorilla gorilla gorilla (western lowland gorilla), 5326 nucleotides long. RefSeq lists it as uncharacterized. The record is from RefSeq and is a predicted model, not a curated record. The transcript is spliced from 11 exons. NCBI's taxonomy places the organism in Eukaryota, Metazoa, Chordata, Mammalia, Primates, Hominidae.
GAAUACCAGUCUCCAGGCGGCGGCUGGCACAGCGGAGCUGCUCUCCAAGCAGCGGGGUUCCCAGGCUGGGAAGUUUGCAUUGCCGUUUCUUUGCGGGCGGGCGGCGAGCGCCGACUGCAUGCCACCUGCGAGAGGAAGAGGCCGGUGAAGUCUCACUCUGUUGCCCAGGCUGGAGUGCAGUGGCACGAUCUCGGCUCACUGCAACCUCCACCUCCCAGGUUCAAGCGAUCCUUCUGUUUCAGCCUCCCCAGUGGCUGGUAUUACAGGAACACACCACCAUGCCUGGCUAAUGCUUCUAUUUCUAUAAAUGAAGACGUGAGGCCGUGUAAGCUCCAAGAGAGCAGGGAUCUUGUUUGUCUUGAUCACCGUGAUAUUUCAGCUGCUGACCCAGUGCUUGAAGCAUAAAGAGAAACUGAGGCCCAUAAAAUUGAAUGGCUCAUCUCAGAUCAAGUGGCCAGAUCAAUGAAGAGAAAUGUCCUUAGGUCAGGCUGCUGGUGUGAAGUAUGCUCUGGAGGUCUGACAUCCACUCUCCCUUAGACUUUCUAAUACGGCAGGAAUUCCAUCCAUGAUGUGCCAGUUCUGUAAAUUUCCUAGCAAGCUUGAAGGAAGUGAAGGACAACUGCAAGGAAGGGCAGGAUGGAGCAUGCAGCCCACGUAUUCCCCAGCUUGGUGGGGCAGAAUGGGUUCUUGGCUCCUGAGGAAUGGGCAGGCAACGCACAGGGGUCCUGGGAAGAAAGGGAGAGAAUAUCCUGGGAGAGCCAUAGUCCCUGGCACCCUCCUGUGGUCCUUCAUCAGGAUAAAUUUCUAAAAGAAGAAUUACUGGCCAAAGGAUUCCUCUUCAGUUGGAAACAGCAGCAAAGUUCAUAGGUCGUGGGUGGAUGUAAAGUGGAUGGAACAGGUUGUUGCCAGUCUAUUGGAGUAGGAUGGUAGAUGAGCAGUCCCCUUGGCUAACAGCAGGGGACCCUGGGGCACUCGUCUCCAGCUCUGUCUCACUCUUUGAGGAGCUAGUUCCAGUUCUACUGUGAGUGUGCAAGGGGCUGGUCAGCUGUAGCAAAACCAGCACUGGACAUGGGGGAUCAGAAGACCCAGGCACACAUAGUUCAAGUUCUGACACAUAUUGGUAUGUGACCUUAAGUGAAUCCCUUACCCCUCUGCUGCCAUGUUUUAUGUGUAAAAUGAUAAAGAGAGGGGUGGACUGAGGUAGUAAUUUUUAAUGGAGGACAUUGGUGUGGCAAAUUACACAUGUUCUGGCCUGAAGAUUCUGAGCUGCUCUCCUUGGAGUCACAUUCUUUCCCAGUGUGUGAACAUCUGUGUGCAGUGAGAGACAUGCCUGAUGGGGAUCUGUUGCCUGAAGCCAGUGUGAAGGCAGGAAAAGGCUUGUUGGAAUUUAAAUACGACCAAUCAAAAUGCGUUUAGGCUUCAAAGGAAAAAGUUCUCCAUAAAUACACCAGAAUUUCAUUCUAACAUGAUUCAUUCAUUCAAAGAGCAAAGCUGCACAAGGGGAAGACAGCUGCCACGUGGUAACGCAGUCCUGUGAAGAGUCCCAUGUGGUGAGAGACGUGGUUGGGAGUGAGCUUGGAAGUGGAUCCCCAACCCUCGUCCCCAAACUGAGACUUCACAUGAGACUGCAGCUCUGGCCAACAGCUUCACUGUAACCUCACAACAGACCUUGAGCCAUAAGCACCCAGCUAAGCUGCAGGGAGACCCCCUGAAACUAUUGCUAUGGAAUAAAAGAUGAAAUGCUCCUGAUUAUUGUAAAUACAAAGUUGCAUGCAGGAUUGUGUAAAGACAAUGCCAGGUUGGACUGCCAGAAUGAGCCAACUGCACGUGAUGUGCUUCCCCCUGCAGAGAGCCUAUGAAUGGACGUGCAGUCAGGGAGGUUUCACAUCACCAAGAUUCCUAUCCUAGAAAGGCAGAUGUUCAUAGCUUUGGGAAUGGAAUGCGAUCCUUGGAGAGCCUAUAAAUGGAUGCUUGGCAGGGGCGCCUGUCCGUAUGGAUAAGAUAGGGCUAUAAACGCCCUCAUCUUGCCAUGGCUCUUCUAGGUCUCUUUAGGGUUAAGGCAUACUCCCUUCUGAGAAUUUCUGGUCUAACUGGUUGUCUAGCUUCACAUCCUGUUUCCAUGGAUUGUUUGUAACCAGCUUUUGUUGCAAUUGUUACUGCUGAUUAAUAUCUUGCUAAUCAUAGGUUAUGGAAAGAUUGUGUUUCUGUUUUAAGGCUCAGUUGGAAAUUACUGACACACACACUAUAUUGUAAAUUCUUAUCUCUCUAUACUGUACUUCUACAUACAAAUGUACUGUACUUCUACAUACAAAUGUUAUGUGAAUUACUUCAUCCCCAUGUGACCAUCUCACCUCAUAAUCAAAUGACCCUAAAUCCCUCACUAACCUACCCCCACCCUCACUAAACUUAAUAAUAAAUGCUGGUAUAUCCAGUGCAUUGUUGGCACCACGGGACCAGAAGGCGGUGAGCCCCCUGGACCCAGCUUUCACUAUCUUGUGUGUGUCUGUUAUUUCUCAACCUGCCGAUCCGCCUGGGAACAAAGAGAGAGCCCCAUUGCAUUGUGGGCUGCUGGCCAGAUCCUGAAGAUGCAUGCAACAAUGAGACAGAGAAAUGUGCUGAAAAAGCACCACAGCAGGAAACAACUAACACAUCCAAUCAUCAAAAAGAAGAAAAGAUCACUCUAACCCCUUUACAACAGACAAUCCAGACAGCCAUCCUGAACAACUUGUCUCCAGCAAUCCAGGUCUGGCUCAACCUCUGCCUCCUCCUGAUGACACUGAUCCUUCUACCCUCUGUCACCCCACAGACUGUUAAAAACUAUACAUAUUGGGCCUAUAUUCCUUUUCCUCCUCUUAUUCGAGCCGUGACAUGGAUGGAUGCUCCUAUCGAGGUCUAUGUUAAUGAUAGUAUUUGGAUGCCUGGUUCUGUAGAUGAUCAUUGUCCUGCACAACCUUCAGAAGAAGGAACCCCUUUCAAUAUCACUUUAGGUUUUAGGUAUCCACCUUUCUGCCUGGGACCCACUAAUGUAUGUCUCUCAUUAGAUAUUCAAACUUGGGCUGUCACACUACUGUCUGGUCACUCUGUCCCUCCUUUAGGACACUUGGUAUCAGGGCUCUCAUUAAAACCUCUAAGGCAGAUCAAAACAGUAAUCACUGAUUAUAUUCACACAUCCCAAUAUAAGCCUUUAGACCUGUGUGUCCUCUCAACUUGUCUUCAAAUGCUGACAAAAUUAAUAUGGAAAGACUGUGUUAGCUCAGAAGGAACCAUGUUAUUUAAUUCUUCUCACUACACCAUUGUUGAUUGGGCUCCUAAAGGUCAUAUUACUAAUGAUUGCUCUCAAGGUCACAGAGAUUGUCAACAUUUUCUCUAUAAUAUUACUUAUCAAAAAGGUAGUGACAACCCUCCCCUAUUAUAUCACAGAUUUAACUCCUUUUUUCCUCUUAAGUGGAAAGGGGCAGGGGUUGCACCUCCAAAGCCAAGGCUCAUUGUUCCCCACUUAGGACCUGAACAUUCUGAAUUAUGCAGAUUAACAAUAGCUAUGACUGGUAUGAGAGUUUGGGCUGGAGAAAGUGUUAUAAGUAAAUCCACCUUGUCACCUCAAAAUAUAUACAAUCUAUCUAUAUGGAGUCCAACAAAACUAUACCACUUAAAAGUUGUUAAACCACCAUAUAUGUUAUUAGUAGGAAAGUUGCACAUUAGUUCAAAAACCAACAUAAUUACGUGUGUUAAUUGUUACUUGUAUACUUGUAUUGACUCAUCCUUUAAUCAAUAUCAUAGUAUUUUAAUAGUCAGAGCCAGAGAAGGUAUUUGGCUCCCUGUAGCCUUACAUAGGCCUUGGGAAUCUUCCCCCUUUAUCCAUGUUAUUAAUAAUAUUCUAUAGAAAAUUCUUAAAAGGAGUAAACAAUUUAUUUUUACAUUAAUUGCAAUAAUAAUGGGCUUGAUUGCUGUUACUGUGAUUGCUGCUACUGCUGGAGUUGCAUUACAUCAAUCUAUUCAAACUGUUCAUUUUGUGGAUAAAUGGCAAAAAAAUUCUGCUCGGAUGUGGAAUUCUCAGGUAUUGAUCAAAAUUGGCUAAUCAAAUUAAUGAUCUAAGACAAACUGUUAUAUGGAUGGGAGAUAGAAUUAUGAGUUUAGAACAUAGAUUACAAAUGCAAUGUGAUUGGAAUACUUCUGAUUUUUGUAUAACUCCAUUUCAAUAUAAUGAGUCUGUUCACAAUUGGGAAUCAGUAAAAUGCCAUUUACAAGGAAGUGAAGAUAAUUUAAAGCUUUAGACAUAAGCAAACUAAAAGAACAGAUUUUUGAGGCCUCUCAAGCACACUUAACUGCUUUACCCGGUGCUGAAGUUUUAAACGGUAUCUCUGAGGGAUUAUGUAAUCUCAACCCCAUUCAAUAGGUAAAAUCUUUGGGAGGAUCCACUAUCGUUAAUUUUGUUCUGUGUAUAAUUUGUACUAUUGGUUUAUUGUUCAUGUGUAAAAUUGGAAAAAAUAUUCUUCAAUCCAAUUGUGAUCAGUGCCAAGCUAUGAUUGCUAUGGUUCAUUUAAAUCAGAGAGAAGGGGGAGAUGUAAGGAGACCCGCUGAAGCUGUUGCUAUGGAAUAAAAGAUGAAAUGCUCCUGAUUAUUGUAAAUACAAAGUUGCAUGCAGGAUUGUGUAAAGACAACGCCAGGUUGGACUGCCAGAAUGAGCCAACAGCGCGUGAUGUGCUUCCCCCUGCAGAGAGCCUAUGAAUGGACGUGCAGUCAGGGAGGUUUCACAUCACCAAGAUUCCUAUCCUAGAAAAGCAGAUGUUCAUAGCUCUAGGAAUAGAAUGUGACCCUUGUGGAGAGCCUAUAAACGGAUGCAUGGGGAGGUGGCUGUCCAUAUGGAUAAGAUAGGGCUAUAAAUGCCCUCAUCUUGCCACAGCUCUUCUAGACCUCUUUAGGGUUAAGGCAUACUCCCUUCUGAGAAUUUCUGGUCUAACUGGUUGUCUAGCUUCACGUCCUGUUUCCAUGGAUUGUUUGUAACCAGCUUUUGUUGCAAUUGUUACUGCUGAUUAAUAUCUUGCUAAUCAUAGGUUAUGGAAAGAUUGUGUUUCUGUUUUAAGGCUCUGUUAGAAAUUACUGACACACACACUAUAUUGUAAAUUCUUAUCUCUCUAUACUGUACUUCUACAUACAAAUGUACUGUACUUCUACAUACAAAUGUUAUGUGAAAGAAUUACUUCAUCCCCAUGUGACCAUCUCACCUCAUAAUCAAAUGACCCUAAAUCCCUCACUAACCUACCCCCACCCUCACUAAACUUAAUAAUAAAUGCUGGUAUAUCCAGUGCAUUGUUGGCACCACGGGACC